Molecule: long non-coding RNA, 615 nt
Organism: Octopus bimaculoides (California two-spot octopus)
Lineage: Eukaryota; Metazoa; Mollusca; Cephalopoda; Octopoda; Octopodidae
Source: RefSeq, a predicted model, not a curated record
GGCAAAAUAUGAUCAAUUUAAUCAAAGUUAAAGUGUAAAAUAUUUUCUCAUAGAAUCUUUCAAUAUUUUCGUCAUCAAUGGAAACUCAAAGGGAUGAGGUUAUAUUUAGUACAAAAGAAAUGUGCCAUUAGAAAUAAGAAAUAUACAAUUGCUACAGUGAAGAGCAGUAGAUAUACUUUACUCUUUGAAAAGUUCUUGCUGGUGAAAAUAUAUGAACAUUUAGAAUUCAGAGUUCAGAAUCUAUUUCAAUUAAGUUUAUUCAAUGCAGUAUGCAUUUACGUUUUCCACCAUCAGGAAAUGCUGUGAUUUUAAAUGACAGCAACGAGUUAUCAUUACAAGAGAAAUAGCUGAAUAAGAUAAAGGAAUUCCUAAAGCUUACAACUUUAUCCUAAGUGGAUGAGGUACAAAGCGUGAAAUGUUGAGGGAGGCGACUAAUCAACUACAUUGGCUCCAGUGUUCAGCUUGUACUUAAUUCAUCAACCCUCAAAGGAUUUUGAACUCAGCGCAAACAAACAGAUGAAACACUGCUAAGCAGUUUGUCUAACAUACUAAUCAUUCUGCCAGUUCACUGCCUUUACUAAUAUAGAAAAGUAAAAGUAUAUAUGUAUAUUCCAA